GGCGUUGAGAUGGUUCAGGGCCCUGUUCAAACUCCAGCACUGACCAUUCACCGGCGGAAGCGGCGGCGCAGGAGGCGGCGGCGGCCCAGCGGGGGCACACAGCAGGCUCUGUUACCAGCUCCAGCAGUGGCGGCCAGCGAGAGCGGAGGCGGCCCGUGGCCAAAGCACCCGCCAGGCUCCGAGAGAAUAUGAAACUGGUGUCAAAAUGACAUCCAGAUUUGGGAAAACAUACAGUAGGAAAGGUGGAAAUGGCAGUUCAAAAUUCGAUGAAGUCUUUUCCAACAAACGGACUACCCUUAGCACAAA
Molecule: long non-coding RNA, 306 nt
Filed under: Homo sapiens (human)
Lineage: Eukaryota; Metazoa; Chordata; Mammalia; Primates; Hominidae
Description: non-protein coding lnc-GRID1-8:1
Source: RNAcentral